CCUACGGGAGGCGGCAGUGGGGAAUUUUGGACAAUGGGCGCAAGCCUGAUCCAGCAAUGCCGCGUGAGUGAAGAAGGCCUUCGGGUUGUAAAGCUCUUUUGUCAGGGAAGAAACGGCUGAGGCUAAUAUCCUCGGCUAAUGACGGUACCUGAAGAAUAAGCACCGGCUAACUACGUGCCAGCAGCCGCGGUAAUACGUAGGGUGCAAGCGUUAAUCGGAAUUACUGGGCGUAAAGCGUGCGCAGGCGGUUUUGUAAGUCUGUCGUGAAAGCCCCGGGCUUAACCUGGGAAUUGCGAUGGAGACUGCAAGGCUUGAAUCUGGCAGAGGGGGGUAGAAUUCCACGUGUAGCAGUGAAAUGCGUAGAGAUGUGGAGGAACACCGAUGGCGAAGGCAGCCCCCUGGGUCAAGAUUGACGCUCAUGCACGAAAGCGUGGGGAGCAAACAGGAUUAGAUACCCUGGUAGUCCACGCCCUAAACGAUGUCUACUAGUUGUCGGGUCUUAAUUGACUUGGUAACGCAGCUAACGCGUGAAGUAGACCGCCUGGGGAGUACGGUCGCAAGAUUAAAACGUCAAAGGAAUUGACGG
RNAcentral lists this ribosomal RNA (586 nucleotides) under uncultured bacterium. RNAcentral's name for it is "bacterial SSU rRNA". It matches the Rfam family "Bacterial small subunit ribosomal RNA", at positions 338 to 916 of the family's 1533-position model. The record is from RNAcentral.